This 506-nucleotide ribosomal RNA is filed under the name uncultured bacterium. Its description in RNAcentral is "partial 16S ribosomal RNA". It matches the Rfam family "Bacterial small subunit ribosomal RNA", at positions 28 to 523 of the family's 1533-position model. The record is from RNAcentral.
GAUGAACGCUAGCUACAGGCUUAACACAUGCAAGUCGAGGGGUAACGAGAGGAAAGCUUGCUUUCCUUGUCGACGACCGGCGCACGGGUGAGUAACGCGUAUCCAACCUGCCCCCAACUAGGGAAUAACCUUGCGAAAGUAAGACUAAUACCCUAUAAUAUCAUCAGAUGUCAUCUGACGAGGAAUAAAGAUUUAUCGGUUGUGGAUGGGGAUGCGUCUGAUUAGCUUGUUGGCGGGGUAACGGCCCACCAAGGCAACGAGCAGUAGGGGUUCUGAGAGGAAGGUCCCCCACAUUGGAACUGAGACACGGUCCAAACUCCUACGGGAGGCAGCAGUGAGGAAUAUUGGUCAAUGGGCGGAAGCCUGAACCAGCCAAGUAGCGUGCAGGAUGACGGCCCUAUGGGUUGUAAACUGCUUUUAUACAGGAAUAAAGUUAGCCACGUGUGGUUAUUUGUAGGUACUGUAUGAAUAAGGACCGGCUAAUUCCGUGCCAGCCGCCGCCGUAA